Molecule: long non-coding RNA, 3553 nt
Organism: Gasterosteus aculeatus aculeatus (three-spined stickleback)
Lineage: Eukaryota; Metazoa; Chordata; Actinopteri; Perciformes; Gasterosteidae
Source: Ensembl
GUUAUGUAUGUAUUACGUGUAGUUUACUAGUAUUAUGUAUGUAUUACGUAUAGUUUACUAGUAUUAUGUAUGUAUUACGUAUAGUUUACUAGUAUUAUGUAUGUAUGUAUUAUGUAUAGUUUACUAGUAUUAUGUAUGUAUUACGUGUAGUUUACUAGUAUUAUGUAUGUAUUACGUAUAGUUUACUAGUAUUAUGUAUGUAUUACGUAUAGUUUACUAGUAUUAUGUAUGUAUGUAUUAUGUAUAGUUUACUAGUAUUAUGUAUGUAUUACGUGUAGUUUACUAGUAUUAUGUAUGUAUUACGUAUAGUUUACUAGUAUUAUGUAUGUAUGUAUUAUGUAUAGUUUACUAGUAUUAUGUAUGUAUUACGUGUAGUUUACUAGUAUUAUGUAUGUAUUACGUAUAGUUUACUAGUAUUAUGUAUGUAUUACGUAUAGUUUACUAGUAUUAUGUAUGUAUUACGUAUAGUUUACUAGUAUUAUGUAUGUAUUACGUUAUAGUUUACUAGUUUUAUGUAUGUAUUACGUAUAGUUUACUAGUAUUAUGUAUGUAUGUAUAGUUUACUAGUAUUAUGUAUGUAUUAUGUAUAGUUUACUAGUAUUAUAUAUGUAUUACGUAUAGUUUACUAGUAUUAUGUAUGUAUUACGUGUAGUUUACUAGUGUUAUGUAUGUAUUACGUGUAGUUUACUAGUAUUAUGUAUAUAUUACGUGUAGUUUACUAGUAUUGUGUAUGUAUGUAUUACGUAUAGUUUACUAGUAUUAUGUAUGUAUGUAUUACGUAUAGUUUAAUAGUAUUACGUAUGUAUGUAUUAUGUAUGUAUGUAUGUAUAAGAUACAAGCGAUACCCUGUAAAGAACAUAACAAUAAAGCAUCAGCAGUAUUCCAGCCGUGUUCUGACUUCCUUGUGGUGGAAGAAGUGAUCAAGUGUCUUAAUCCUCAGCACCAUGAACAUACUGCUAAUGCAACUGUGUGUUCAAGGUUUUAACGUGUUGGAUCUCUGCAGGUUUUUGGGCUUGCGGCACACAACAGGAUGUAAAAACCAAAGUGCAUCUCUCCGUCCCUCCUCCCUCUCUCACUCCCUUCUCUCCCUCUCUCUCUCUCUCUCUCUCUCUCUCUCCCCCACACCGCUCAGUUAAUCUGAUUAAACCAGCAGCUGUCUGCGGUUCUGCGGCAACAAUAGCGGCUGGCUGAGCCGCCGAUUAGCGCGGUUGCAUCAUGAAUUAUGCAGCGAGGGGAAGGUGGCGCAGUGAGGGGAAGGUGGCGCAGCGAGGGGAAGGUGGCGCAGUGAGGAGGGGAAGGUGGCGCCGUGAGGGGAAGGUGGCGCAGUGAGGGGAAGGUGGCGCAGUGAGGAGGGGAAGGUGGCGCAGUGAGGGGAAGGUGGCGCAGUGAGGAGGGGAAGGUGGCGCCGUGAGGGGAAGGUGGCGCAGUGAGGGGGAAGGUGGCGCAGUGAGGAGGGGAAGGUGGCGCCGUGAGGGGAAGGUGGCGCAGCGAGGGGAAGGUGGCGCCGUGAGGGGAAGGUGGCGCAGUGAGGGGAAGGUGGCGCAGUGAGGAGGGGAAGGUGGCGCAGUGAGGAGGGGAAGGUGGCGCCGUGAGGGGUAGGUGGCGCAGUGAGGAGGGGAAGGUGGCGCCGUGAGGGGAAGGUGGCGCAGUGAGGGGAAGGUGGAUGAAUGGAUGGAUGAAUGGAUGGAUGAAUGGAUGAAACCUUUAAAGAAUAAAGGCCUGUUUGAUGUGGAAGACGAGGAGCCACACACACACACACACACACACACACACACACACACACACACACACACACACACACACACACACACACACACAGGUGGAGCUCCGCCUACCUCUCUUGGUGAUGAUGAUGCGGAGCAGUGGGUUUGCCGCCGACACCGCCUUGUGGAAGUUGUCGUCGUUGUUGAUGGGCAGCAGGUCGCCGUGGACGUCCGCGUAUCCCAGCAGCACGUCGGUGCCGGGGACGCGGGUGGAGGUUCUGGAGGAGGCGGUAGAACUCCUGGAAGCCGCCGGCGCCGUUCCUCCUCAGGGCGAAGCGCCGGUACUCGGCCUCGAACUGGAAGAGAGGGUGACAGCAGCCGGUGGGUCGACGAGCUACACGGGCGGCACGACGCCUCCGUCCUCCACAAACAGGACAAGGUCAAGUUUCUCCUCGUCCCGCUCCUCUGAGCACCUCCACGACCUGCGACCCCUGACCUGAGGUCAUCCCGCCAUGUUUACUUACAUCUGCUUUUAACCUGAGAUGCUGGUUAACUAGGUUCUUCUUUCGUUUCUUACUUUGUUUGACUUUUUUAUUCCCGUCACACCCAAAAAAAAAGCAACGUUCUCGAAUGUUAGACGUGUAAAUGGAGUAAAGCCAGAUGAGAGAACAUCUGUCAGUCCACGUUGUUGUUGUUGAGGAGACUUUGAGGCCGCGGCUCACAUUGACCUUUUGCCCAGUAGGUGAUCAGCUUUCCGUUCAGCGUGACGCAGCUGGUGUUGUUGUGACUGUAUAGAAGCAUUGCCACAGUUUCCUCUUGGCACACGGCCACGUGUUAGCAUACCACAGCUAGCAUAGCACGGUAACCCGCCGUCGGGUCGAAGGCCUGACUGUGGCCGUACCAGAAAACAUCGAUAACACGACAAAUAUUGUGAAAAUGUUACUCGUGGUUUGCGUUCAGUUACAUUAUGAUGAGUUAGCUGAAUGAUAACUGGGAUGCGUUCAAGUGUAACCCUGUGAAACGGGGAUAAGGAACAAAUCUCAGCCGACUGGAACACGGCAUAACCAGUCAGUAGUGCGACCUUUGACCUGUGGUCCGGGGUUAUGGGAAAGGUGCCAGCAGAAGGUGUGAUGGGUUUGUCCUCUGCAGGUGAUACGUCGGUCAUCACCUACACCUGUUCCAGCGGGUGGAGCAGAGCGGUGACACCGCGGUGCACGUUAGUGGUGUUAGAGGUGUGAUUGCAGCACGCAGGGAACAUUUUGUCUUGGGCCGUGAUCUAAUCACAACACUGGAAAUAUUCCACUCUAGUUAAACGGAUUAAUAAAAAAGGGAAAAGCUGGUUCAUGCAAUUAUGUAAAUGGCUUAACAGGAACACAAGCAAAGCAUUAUUAUUCGUACAGUGGAAGCGGGUUCAGGCUCUGAUGAAAAACAUGGUUAUGAAUCACUGGUGUCUUAUUUAUUUUGCAGGAACAACGUUGUACCGUAAGUGAGCGAGAGUUAGCCAGAGAGGCUAACGUCCAUCUGCUGCCCCCGCCAGAUGUUUGCCUGAAUUUAACAUAAUUAAAAGAGAAAAUAAAAAAAUAGUAACAUGAAGCAACAAGAAGCAACUCUGUUGCUUCAUGAAAACAACCAGAGACCCGAGAGGCACCAAGAGGAGCCGAGUCCGUUUGGAGGUCUGACGUGAGUUACGUUCCAUCAGAAAACUAUUUAUUUAUUUAUUAAUUAAUCCUCUGGUGGCAACAGCACCAACAAGCUAACAAGCUAACUCGCCGGCCAGUGGCGAGCGUCGAACAGCUGCUCGGGCAGCCGCGGGCCCUUUUCGGGGUCAAUGGUGGUCCCGGGACGCGGGU